UUCGCCCUUUUCCGGUUGAUCCCGCCGGACCCUACUGCUAUCGGGGUAGGACUAAGACAUGCGAGUCGUGCGUCUCUAAGCUAUGGUAGAGACGCGGCAUACGGCUCAGUAACACGUGGCUAACCUACCCUUAGGACGGAGACAACCCCGGGAAACUGGGGCUAAUACCUGAUAGGUGAGGAGGCCUGGAAUGGUUCUUCGCUGAAAAGGCGUUGAAACCAUGCUUUUCAACGUCGCCUAAGGAUGGGGCCGCGCCCGAUCAGGUUGUUGGUGGGGUAACGGCUCACCAAGCCUAUAACCGGUACGGGCCGUGAGAGCGGGAGCCCGGAGAUGGGCACUGAGACAAGGGCCCAGGCCCUACGGGGCGCAGCAGUCGCGAAAACUCCGCAAUGCG
RNAcentral lists this ribosomal RNA (394 nucleotides) under uncultured archaeon. RNAcentral describes it as "bacterial SSU rRNA". It matches the Rfam family "Archaeal small subunit ribosomal RNA", at positions 1 to 359 of the family's 1478-position model. The record is from RNAcentral.